RNAcentral lists this ribosomal RNA (492 nucleotides) under uncultured bacterium. RNAcentral's name for it is "partial 16S ribosomal RNA". It matches the Rfam family "Bacterial small subunit ribosomal RNA", at positions 29 to 507 of the family's 1533-position model. The record is from RNAcentral.
AGUGAACGCUGGCGGUAGGCCUAACACAUGCAAGUCGAACGGCAGCACAGUAAGAGCUUGCUCUUACGGGUGGCGAGUGGCGGGCGGGUGAGGAAUACAUCGGAAUCUACUUUUUCGUGGGGGAUAACGUAGGGAAACUUACGCUAAUACCGCAUACGACCUACGGGUGAAAGCAGGGGAUCUUCGGACCUUGUGCGAUUGAAUGAGCCGAUGUCGGAUUAGCUAGUUGGCGGGGUAAAGGCCCACCAAGGCGACGAUCCGUAGCUGGUCUGAGAGGAUGAUCAGCCACACUGGAACUGAGACACGGUCCAGACUCCUACGGGAGGCAGCAGUGGGGAAUAUUGGACAAUGGGCGCAAGCCUGAUCCAGCCAUACCGCGUGGGUGAAGAAGGCCUUCGGGUUGUAAAGCCCUUUUGUUGGGAAAGAAAAGCAGCAGGUUAAUACCCCGCUGUUCUGACGGUACCCAAAGAAUAAGCACCGGCUAACUUCGUG